GAUGAACGCUGGCGGCGUGCCUAAUACAUGCAAGUCGAGCGAACAGACGAGGAGCUUGCUCCUCUGACGUUAGCGGCGGACGGGUGAGUAACACGUGGAUAACCUACCUAUAAGACUGGGAUAACUUCGGGAAACCGGAGCUAAUACCGGAUAAUAUAUUGAACCGCAUGGUUCAAUAGUGAAAGACGGUUUUGCUGUGACUUAUAGAUGGAUCCGCGCCGCAUUAGCUAGUUGGUAAGGUAACGGCUUACCGAGGCAACGAUGCGUAGCCGACCUGAGAGGGUGAUCGGCCACACUGGAACUGAGACACGGUCCAGACUCCUACGGGAGGCAGCAGUAGGGAAUCUUCCGCAAUGGGCGAAAGCCUGACGGAGCAACGCCGCGUGAGUGAUGAAGGUCUUCGGAUCGUAAAACUCUGUUAUUAGGGAAGAACAAAUGUGUAAGUAACUAUGCACGUCUUGACGGUACCUAAUCAGAAAGCCACGGCUAACUACGUG
Molecule: ribosomal RNA, 497 nt
Filed under: uncultured bacterium
Lineage: Bacteria
Description: partial 16S ribosomal RNA
Rfam family: Bacterial small subunit ribosomal RNA
Source: RNAcentral